RNAcentral lists this ribosomal RNA (550 nucleotides) under Uncinaria sp. SAN-2011. Its description in RNAcentral is "eukaryotic LSU rRNA". It matches the Rfam family "Eukaryotic large subunit ribosomal RNA", at positions 1352 to 1857 of the family's 3401-position model. The record is from RNAcentral. Lineage: Eukaryota; Metazoa; Nematoda; Chromadorea; Rhabditida; Ancylostomatidae.
CCGUUGCUGGCUUGUGCGUUGUCUAGCGCCUGGCCGCAACGAGUAGGAGGGUCGUGGCGGUUGCGUCGAAGGCUUUGGGCGUAGGCCCAGCUGGAGCUUCCGUCAGUGCAGAUCUCGGUGGUAGUAGCAAAUAUUUAAGUUCGAUCCUUGAAGACUGAAGUGGAGAAGGGUUCCACGUGAACAGUAGUUGAAUGUGGGUCAGUCGAUCCUAAGAUACUGGCUUAUGCCUUGUAUCAUUGAGAGGGAAAAGUUUCUUUUCUCUCGGAUAUCAAAAGGGAAUAGGGUUAAUAUUCCCUAACGCAGACACAGAGAUUGCGGCUCUUUGAGUCGCUUGCGCGGUAACGCAUUCGAACUUGGUUACGUCGCUCAGAGACCGAGCUAGAGUUCUCUUCUCUAGUUAAGGAACGGACUCCCUGGAAUCGGUUCAGCCGUAGAUAGGGACGUUGUUUCCGUAAAGCAUCGCGGUUUCUGUGAUGUCUCGUGUUCUUUGGACGGCCCUUGAAAAACCAAGGAAGGCUAUCAAUCUGUGCUGCAUCGUACCGAUAUCCGC